UCCCGACUCCUACGGGAGGCAGCCCCGGCGAAUAUUGCCCAAUGGGCCAAACCCUGCCGCCCCCCACCCCCGUGACGGAUGAACGCCUCCGGCCCGCCCCCCUCCGUCAGCACCCAAGACGGGUCACUGUGCUAAUCCGCAGUCAAUUCAACGUCUCUGCAAACGAAGCACCGGCUACAUCAGUGCCACAAGCACUGGUACUACGGAGCGUCGGAGCGUUAAUCGGAAUUACUGGGCGUAAAGCGCUCGUAGGCGGUAUGUCAAGUCAAGGGUGAAAGCCCCGCGCUCAACGUGGGAACUGCCUUUGAAACUGGCAAACUGGAGUGUGUGAGAGGAUAGUGGAAUUCCAGGUGUAGGAGUGAAAUCCGUAGAUAUCUGGAGGAACAUCAGUGGCGAAGGCGACUAUCUGGCACAUAACUGACGCUGAGGAGCGAAAGCGUGGGUAGCAAACAGGAUUAGAUACCCGUGUAAG
Molecule: ribosomal RNA, 472 nt
Filed under: uncultured bacterium
Lineage: Bacteria
Description: bacterial SSU rRNA
Rfam family: Bacterial small subunit ribosomal RNA
Source: RNAcentral